AGAGUUUGAUCAUGGCUCAGAACGAACGCUGGCGGCAGGCCUAACACAUGCAAGUCGAACGCCCCGCAAGGGGAGUGGCAGACGGGUGAGUAACGCGUGGGAACGUGCCCUGAGGUACGGGACAACCAGGGGAAACUCUGGCUAAUACCGUAUGAGCCCCGAGAGGGGGAAAGAUUGAUCGCCUCAGGAUCGGCCCGCGUCGGAUUAGCUAGUUGGUGUGGUAACGGCGCACCAAGGCGACGAUGUAUAGCUGGUCUGAGAGGAUGAUCAGCCACACUGGGACUGAGACACGGCCCAGACUCCUACGGGAGGCAGCAGUCGGGAAUCUUGCGCAAUGGGCGAAAGCCUGACGCAGCAACACCGUGUGAGCGACGAAGGCCUUCGGGUCGUAAAGCUCUGUUGUUGGGGACGAAGGGUUAGGGGUUAAUAGCCCCGAGCCUGACGGUACCCUUCGAGGAAGCCCCGGCUAACUACGUGCCAGCAGCCGCGGUAAUACGUAGGGGGCGAGCGUUGUCCGGAAUUAUUGGGCGUAAAGAGCGUGUAGGCGGUUCGGUAAGUCUGCCGUGAAAACCCAGGGCUCAACCCUGGGCGUGCGGUGGAUACUGCCGGGCUAGAGGGUGGUAGAGGCGAGUGGAAUUCCCGGUGUAGCGGUGAAAUGCGCAGAUAUCGGGAGGAACACCAGUAGCGAAGGCGGCUCGCUGGGCCACACCUGACGCUGAGACGCGAAAGCGUGGGGAGCAAACAGGAUUAGAUACCCUCGUAGUCC
This 766-nucleotide ribosomal RNA is filed under the name uncultured Rubrobacter sp. RNAcentral describes it as "bacterial SSU rRNA". It matches the Rfam family "Bacterial small subunit ribosomal RNA", at positions 8 to 796 of the family's 1533-position model. Lineage: Bacteria; Bacillati; Actinomycetota; Rubrobacteria; Rubrobacterales; Rubrobacteraceae. The record is from RNAcentral.